RNAcentral lists this long non-coding RNA (205 nucleotides) under Lathyrus oleraceus (garden pea). RNAcentral's name for it is "Pisum sativum (pea) long non-coding RNA (PSAT_LNC014667)". Lineage: Eukaryota; Viridiplantae; Streptophyta; Magnoliopsida; Fabales; Fabaceae. The record is from RNAcentral.
UUCACUAGAUUUUGGAUUUUUGUUUCCUGGAGCAUACAAACACCGAACAUACCUUUGAUAGCUAAUUGAUUUAAGGUUUUCCUCGUGAUUGAGAAUCCACAUCCCUGAAUAUUGAGAGAUAAAAUAUUUAUUGAUCACCUCCCUUGUUUGCCUCAUUCUUACUCUCUGCCUCUUGAUCUCUUUUCUAAAAAAUCCUUAUUGAUUC